RNAcentral lists this ribosomal RNA (957 nucleotides) under Cortinarius abnormis. RNAcentral's name for it is "LSU rRNA". It matches the Rfam family "Eukaryotic large subunit ribosomal RNA", at positions 1 to 945 of the family's 3401-position model. Lineage: Eukaryota; Fungi; Basidiomycota; Agaricomycetes; Agaricales; Cortinariaceae. The record is from RNAcentral.
GACCUCAAAUCAGGUAGGACUACCCGCUGAACUUAAGCAUAUCAAUAAGCGGAGGAAAAGAAACUAACAAGGAUUCCCCUAGUAACUGCGAGUGAAGCGGGAAAAGCUCAAAUUUAAAAUCUGGCAGUCUUUGGCUGUCCGAGUUGUAAUCUAGAGAAGUGUUAUCCGCGCUGGACCGUGUACAAGUCUCCUGGAAUGGAGCGUCAUAGAGGGUGAGAAUCCCGUCUUUGACACGGACUGCCAGGGCUUUGUGAUGCGCUCUCAAAGAGUCGAGUUGUUUGGGAAUGCAGCUCAAAAUGGGUGGUAAAUUCCAUCUAAAGCUAAAUAUUGGCGAGAGACCGAUAGCGAACAAGUACCGUGAGGGAAAGAUGAAAAGAACUUUGGAAAGAGAGUUAAAYAGUACGUGAAAUUGCUGAAAGGGAAACGCUUGAAGUCAGUCGCGUUGGCCAGGGAUCAACCUUGCUUUUGCUUGGUGUACUUUCUGGUUGAUGGGUCAGCAUCAAUUUUGAYUAUUGGAAAAAGGUCAGGGGAAUGUGACAUCUUCGGAUGUGUUAUAGCCCUUGGUUGCAUACAAUAGUUGGGAUUGAGGAACUCAGCACGCCGCAAGGCCGGGUUUUUAACCACGUACGUGCUUAGGAUGCUGGCAUAAUGGCUUUAAUCGACCCGUCUUGAAACACGGACCAAGGAGUCUAACAUACCUGCGAGUGUUUGGGUGGAAAACCCGAGCGCGUAAUUAAAGUGAAAGUUGAGAUCCCUGUCGUGGGGAGCAUCGACGCCCGGACUAGACCUUUUGUGACGGUUCCGCGGUAGAGCAUGUAUGUUGGGACCCGAAAGAUGGUGAACUAUGCCUGAAUAGGGUGAAGCCAGAGGAAACUCUGGUGGAGGCUCGUAGCGAUUCUGACGUGCAAAUCGAUCGUCAAAUUUGGGUAUAGGGGCGAAAGACUAAUCGAACCAUCU